RNAcentral lists this transfer RNA (69 nucleotides) under Ornebius kanetataki. Its description in RNAcentral is "tRNA-Gln". Lineage: Eukaryota; Metazoa; Arthropoda; Insecta; Orthoptera; Mogoplistidae. The record is from RNAcentral.
UAUAUUUUAGUGUAAGAAGCACUAGAAUUUUUGAUUUUCUAAGAAAUAGUUUAAUUCUAUUAAAUAUAA